Molecule: ribosomal RNA, 440 nt
Filed under: uncultured bacterium
Lineage: Bacteria
Description: partial 16S ribosomal RNA
Rfam family: Bacterial small subunit ribosomal RNA
Source: RNAcentral
CCUACGGGCGGCAGCAGUGGGGAAUAUUGCACAAUGGGGGGAACCCUGAUGCAGCAACGCCGCGUGGGUGAAGAAGUACUUCGGUAUGUAAAGCCCUGUCAGCAGGGAAGAAAAUGACGGUACCUGACCAAGAAGCCCCGGCUAACUACGUGCCAGCAGCCGCGGUAAUACGUAGGGGGCAAGCGUUAUCCGGAUUUACUGGGUGUAAAGGGAGCGUAGACGGCAAGGCAAGUCUGGAGUGAAAGCCCGGGGCUCAACCACGGGACUGCUUUUGAAACUGUGUUGCUGGAGUGCAGGAGGGGUAAGCGGAAUUCCUAGUGUAGCGGUGAAAUGCGUAGAUAUUAGGAGGAACACCGGUGGCGAAGGCGGCUUACUGGACUGUAACUGACGUUGAGGCUCGAAGGCGUGGGGAGCAAACAGGAUUAGAUACCCCUGUAGUC